This 614-nucleotide ribosomal RNA is filed under the name uncultured bacterium. Its description in RNAcentral is "bacterial SSU rRNA". It matches the Rfam family "Bacterial small subunit ribosomal RNA", at positions 62 to 652 of the family's 1533-position model. The record is from RNAcentral.
UCGAACGAGAAAAUCCCUUCGGGGGUGAGUAAAGUGGCACACGGGUGAGGAACGCGUAGGUAAUCUACCCUCAGGCGGGGGACAACACUCCGAAAGGAAUGCUAAUACCGCGUAAGACCACACUCACUAAGGUGAGAGUGGUAAAAGAUGGCCUCUUCUUGAAAGCUAUCACCAGAGGAUGAGCCUGCGUCCCAUCAGCUUGUUGGUAAGGUAACGGCUUACCAAGGCUAAGACGGGUAGCUGGUCUGAGAGGAUGAUCAGCCACACUGGCACUGGAACACGGGCCAGACUCCUACGGGAGGCAGCAGUGAGGAAUAUUGGGCAAUGGGCGCAAGCCUGACCCAGCCACGCCGCGUGUGUGAUGAAGGCCUUCGGGUCGUAAAGCACUGUGGGGAGGAACGAAAAACCUCCGUUCGAAUAGGGCGGAGACUUGACGGUACCUCCUUAGCAAGCACCGGCUAACUCUGUGCCAGCAGCCGCGGUAAUACAGAGGGUGCGAACGUUGCUCGGAUUUACUGGGCGUAAAGCGCGUGUAGGCGGACUCGCAAGUCGGUUGUGAAAUCCCUGGGCUCAACCUAGGAACUGCAUCCGAAACUGCUUGUCUUGAGUAAUGG